This 316-nucleotide long non-coding RNA is filed under the name Phascolarctos cinereus (koala). RNAcentral describes it as "lncRNA (ENSPCIG00000037140.1)". Lineage: Eukaryota; Metazoa; Chordata; Mammalia; Diprotodontia; Phascolarctidae. The record is from RNAcentral.
AUAGAAUCUGCUGACUUCAAUAGCCUCACUCACCUUCUGACGUGGAAGGAGAACCGAAACAACAUUUUCCCAGAACCCAUCGUUGAGCAGUCGAGUGACUCCAGAAACAAAAGGCUUUCCAGUGAACAAUCAACCAAUGAGCCAGAGGCUGACAGCUGCCAGGAAUCUAAGGAGUGUAAUUCUUGAAGCGGCUUGAACAGCCAAAAAUCAAGAAGAUAAAAAAUCACCUUGAACCUUGAGAAUUUUAUUUACAUAGGAAUAUCAAUGUAGGUAUAGACUGCCUCAAUAAAAGCCACCAUGAUUAUGAUUUUGUACA